GACGAACGCUGGCGGCGUGCCUAAUACAUGCAGGUCGAGCGCUGAAGGCUGGUACUUGUACCCACUGGAUGAGCAGCGAACGGGUGAGUAACGCGUGGGGAAUCUGCCUUUGAGCGGGGGACAACAUUUGGAAACGAAUGCUAAUACCGCAUAAAAACUUUAAACACAAGUUUUAAGUUUGAAAGAUGCAAUUGCAUCACUCAAAGAUGAUCCCGCGUUGUAUUAGCUAGUUGGUGAGGUAAAGGCUCACCAAGGCGAUGAUACAUAGCCGACCUGAGAGGGGGAGAGGCCAAGUUGGGAUGGAGACACGGCCCAAACUCCUACGGGAGGCAGCAGGAGGGAAUCUUCAGGAAUGGAAGAAAGUCUGACCGAGCAACGCCGCGUGAGUGAAGAAGGUUUUCGGGUCGUAAAACUCUGUUGGUAGGGAGGAACGUUGGGGAGAGUGAAAAGCUCAGCAAGUGACGGUAACUAGACAGAAAGCGACGGCUAACUACGUG
This 497-nucleotide ribosomal RNA is filed under the name uncultured bacterium. RNAcentral's name for it is "partial 16S ribosomal RNA". It matches the Rfam family "Bacterial small subunit ribosomal RNA", at positions 28 to 507 of the family's 1533-position model. The record is from RNAcentral.